Molecule: long non-coding RNA, 998 nt
Filed under: Marmota monax (woodchuck)
Lineage: Eukaryota; Metazoa; Chordata; Mammalia; Rodentia; Sciuridae
Source: RNAcentral
CAACAGUCAGAAUUUUCCUGCCUGGGACCUAGGGCAGCUGAUUAAGCACUCCUGUUAGCUCACAGUCUGGCCCUGGCUGAUUUUAAGGCCUUGCUUUGUCCCCUCCACAGAAAGCAAACUAGAAGACCUAAUUGCAAGACCACUUUGACCUUUGAUUCCAGAUCCUGACAGACGGAAAUGUUUCAAUCAGGCCAAAGCACAGAGACCUCUCUAAUGAGGAUUUGUCAGGACCUUCUGUUUGAUAAAGGGUGGAUCCUAUUGCUGUGUCAAUUUUCUCUCUCACUGAUGUUCCCCUGGCCUUUGAUAGCACAGAUCACACACACAUAGGUGUGCCUUUCAUGUUCCUGAGCCUCACGGGCAGGGGUCUGCCCAGCCAUCAUUAAUAUGCACCUUGGUGCAGCUGGUGGGGAAAUUGAUGGAAAUAAAGGAGCUGAGGUUCCCUUUUAUGUGAGCUCAGGAAACCCACCAUACAUCAGUGUUAAAAUAGAGAUUGCUCUCCAGAAGGAAAGAGAUCCAUAGAACAAUUGUAGUCAUUUGCAUUCGUGACAUUCCCAAAUGAGGACUAUUUACUGUUGUCCUAAACAUUAAGGAGCUCCCUUAAACAUCACCCAGUCCAAUGCCCUUCCCUGUACCAUCUUUGAAUCAGGUACUGCAUUGGCGGGAGUUUUUUGAUUUAAAACAAUGGAGGUCAAUUCUGGAAAACUUGAGCAAAAAGGGAAGUUACCUGAGGUUGGAGACUCCAUUUAGAGAUGAGACAAAAACCAGUGAUGUUCUGGGAACAGGCAGAGCUCUUUAGCCAGCUAUGCUAAGCACCACCUCUGGAAUAAAUGUCCUCCAUCCAUUUUCCCACCCAUUAUGGUUUAGAUAUAAGGUGUCCCCCCAAACCUCACGUGUGAGACAAUACAAGAACAUUCAGAGGUGAAAUGAUUGGUUGUAAGAGCCUUAACCUCAUCAGUGCAUUAAGCCAUCUGAAUGGAUUACCUGGGUGGUAACUGCAG